This is a long non-coding RNA of Apis dorsata (giant honeybee), 405 nucleotides long. RefSeq lists it as uncharacterized. The record is from RefSeq and is a predicted model, not a curated record. The transcript is spliced from 4 exons. Lineage: Eukaryota; Metazoa; Arthropoda; Insecta; Hymenoptera; Apidae.
CGAGACGCUAUUGCGCAUUAUUGUGCGCAUGACGUGAGUCUACACUUAAAAGUCGUGAUGGCAAGUUGCUUUUUACCGAUCAUCAUUUGAUCGAAGCUUCGAUCGAAACAGUAUUGUUUCGAAAGUAUAGGAUUCUUCGUUGACUUUUAUGCAGAUGUGGCCCCAAGACGGAAAAUAUUUCUUAUAAUUCUAAAAAAUUGACGAUUCGCGUUCGUACUACACUCGACAGGUUUCGACUUGUUGAGCAUCCCCCCCUUCCGCCAUUUGUAAUUCGAUACAUCAAAGUCGUUGCGCGGAGUGUUAUUUCAUUGUCGAAAUUCGUGACGAUUAGACGCUUCGUUUGAGAUAAGUACAACAUUGUUGAUUGAUGCAUUUAUAGGUGGGAAAAAGGAUUUAAUAUAUAUA